UAAUACGUAGGGAGCAAGCGUUGUCCGGAAUCAUUGGGCGUAAAGCGCGCGUAGGCGGCCUCAUAAGUCCGUUGUGAAAGUCAAAGGCUCAACCUUUGAAAGCCGAUGGAUACUGUGAGGCUAGAGUUCGGAAGAGGCGAGUGGAAUUCCUGGUGUAGCGGUGGAAUGCGCAGAUAUCAGGAGGAACACCAAUAGCGAAGGCAGCUCGCUGGGACGAUACUGACGCUAAGGCGCGAAAGCGUGGGGAGCGAACAGGAUUAGAUACCCUGGUAGUCCACGCCGUAAACGAUGGGCACUAGGUGUGGGAGGUGUCGACUCCUCCCGUGCCGUCGCUAACGCACUAAGUGCCCCGCCUGGGGAGUACGGCCGCAAGGCUA
RNAcentral lists this ribosomal RNA (377 nucleotides) under uncultured bacterium. RNAcentral describes it as "bacterial SSU rRNA". It matches the Rfam family "Bacterial small subunit ribosomal RNA", at positions 521 to 896 of the family's 1533-position model. The record is from RNAcentral.